Molecule: RNA transcript, 1544 nt
Organism: Setaria italica (foxtail millet)
Lineage: Eukaryota; Viridiplantae; Streptophyta; Magnoliopsida; Poales; Poaceae
Exons: 3
Source: RefSeq, a predicted model, not a curated record
GGUGACAUGUUUGGACGCCAAGUGAUGGAGAAAACGAAACCACUAGCUUCUGUACGCGUUUCCAGCCAUUACCGCUCAGCUUCUGAUUGGCCUAGCUUAUCCUGUCAGCGACUCAUCGUUAGCAGCUCCCCGUGCUCGCGUCGCGCCGUCGCCUCGCCGUCCUGCCUCCGCCACCCACCGUCUCCCACUCGCAUCCCGCAUGGCGGAGGCCAAGCCCCGUGCCCAAGCUCGGCUCGCCGCUCCCGCCCCCACGUGGGCGCAGCGGGCCGAGGCCCUAACCCACAUCCUGACCCACCCGUCCCACUCGCCGUCGCUCCACUCGCAGCUCUUCCUCGCCUCCCGCGUCCCGUGCCCGGGCUCCGCCGCGUCGUAUCCGCCCUUCCUGUGCCCCGGCGCCUCGCUCCUCCGCUGGGCGCUCGCCUCCGUCUUCCUCCCGCGCGCGGCGCGGCUCUGCCUCCCGCCCUCGUCCUGGCGGUCCCGGUGCCCCUUCCAGCUCCCGCCGCCGCUCGUGCCCUCGGUGGCGAUCGAGCCAGCGCCCGAGCGGUGGGGCGAAGCCGAGCUCGCGGCGUACGCGCACCGGCGGAGGGCGCGGAGGGGCCCGCUGAAGACGCGGCCGCCCAUGUCCGUGGUGGGCGUGGUGCUCACCACCGUGCCCAGCGUCGUCAUCGUCAUCGCCUUCAUAAGGGAGUUCUUCUGGAUCCGCCCCAACCGCGUCUGAGGUGCCCUUCACCUUAAGAGUGCAGACUGAAUUCACUGAAUGCAUUACGCGGGUGAAGAUUUUGGUUAAAGUGCCUGGGCCUGGCCGCCUGCAACAUAGACGCUGGAUCAGGAAUUCAGGAAGCACAGGGAUCUCGGCAGCUCCAUCAAACACCCAGACCUAUUUACGCAUGCCUGGCGUCACCAGAGCGCCAUGGAGGCACGGACACGGACCAUUCUAGGCCCUUUAUGUCAAGCGAAGCCUCCUCGUGGACCACCACCAGCAAACCAAUCUGGCCAAGAUCGGCAGCAGCAUAUCGCUGAGGCAUUCUGUGUUGCUCAUGUAUCACGAGGCUUCCCUUCUUCAGCAUUUAGCCUGCGAGAAACAAGUGCAGGAAGGAUCAACAUCCAAGUUGUUCGGGAGAUGCCAGCGUUCUUGACUCCAAUCAGUCGUGCCACAUAUAGUCGGGGUUCCAUAGGCUUCAGCAUUCUUGAUUCCAAUCAGGCGUGGCAUAUCGUUGGGGUUCUUGACUCCAAUCAAUGUUCUUCAGGUUGAGGGGACUAGUGUAAACUAGAGGCCUGUUCGCUUUAGCUUAUUCAACCGGCUUAUCAGCCACCAAACAGUGUUUUCCUCUCACAACAAAUCAGCCGUUUCAGCUUUUCAGCCGGCUUAUAAGCUGAAGCGAAUAGGUGGCCAGAUUGUACAUUUUUUUCUAAGUGUUUUUUGUAUUCCCCCAUGCUUGCACCUAGAAAUUGGAUAAAUCGGAUGUUUUUCUGUUUCUGACGAAACAAAAGUUGUUCUGUACCUGUUUUAAGAAUGUUCAUGGGAAGCUCUAUCAUGGGAUGCA